RNAcentral lists this ribosomal RNA (468 nucleotides) under uncultured bacterium. Its description in RNAcentral is "partial 16S ribosomal RNA". It matches the Rfam family "Bacterial small subunit ribosomal RNA", at positions 28 to 507 of the family's 1533-position model. The record is from RNAcentral.
GACGAACGCUGGCGGCGUGCUUAACACAUGCAAGUCGAACGGAAAGGCCCUGCUUUUGUGGGGUGCUCGAGUGGCGAACGGGUGAGUAACACGUGAGUAACCUGCCCUUGACUUUGGGAUAACUUCAGGAAACUGGGGCUAAUACCGGAUAGGAGCUCCUGCUGCAUGGUGGGGGUUGGAAAGUUUCGGCGGUUGGGGAUGGACUCGCGGCUUAUCAGCUUGUUGGUGGGGUAGUGGCUUACCAAGGCUUUGACGGGUAGCCGGCCUGAGAGGGUGACCGGCCACAUUGGGACUGAGAUACGGCCCAGACUCCUACGGGAGGCAGCGGUGGGGAAUAUUGCACAAUGAGCGGAAGCCUGAUGCAGCAACGCAGCGCGCGGGAUGACGGCCUGCGGGUUGUAAACCGCUUUCGCCUGUGACGAGGCGUGAGUGACGGUAAUGGGUAAAGAAGCACCGGCUAACUACGUG